UACGGAGGGUGCAAGCGUCAUCCGGAUUUACUGGGUUUAAAGGGUGCGUAGGUGGGUUGGUAAGUCAGUGGUGAAAUCCCCGAGCUUAACUUGGGAACUGCCAUUGAUACUAUCAGUCUUGAAUAUUGUGGAGGUUAGCGGAAUAUGUCAUGUAGCGGUGAAAUGCUUAGAUAUGACAUAGAACACCAAUUGCGAAGGCAGCUGGCUACGCAUAUAUUGACACUGAGGCACGAAAGCGUGGGGAUCAAACAGG
This 253-nucleotide ribosomal RNA is filed under the name uncultured bacterium. RNAcentral's name for it is "partial 16S ribosomal RNA". It matches the Rfam family "Bacterial small subunit ribosomal RNA", at positions 524 to 776 of the family's 1533-position model. The record is from RNAcentral.